This 387-nucleotide ribosomal RNA is filed under the name uncultured bacterium. RNAcentral describes it as "bacterial SSU rRNA". It matches the Rfam family "Bacterial small subunit ribosomal RNA", at positions 30 to 417 of the family's 1533-position model. The record is from RNAcentral.
AUUGAACGCUGGCGGCAUGCCUUACACAUGCAAGUCGAACGGCAGCGCGGGGCAACCUGGCGGCGAGUGGCGAACGGGUGAGUAAUAUAUCGGAACAUACCCUAGAGUGGGGGAUAACGUAGCGAAAGUUACGCUAAUACCGCAUACGCACUAAGGUGGAAAGUGGGGGAUUCGCAAGAACCUCAUGCUCAUGGAGUGGCCGAUAUCUGAUUAGCUGGUUGGUGAGGUAAAGGCUCACCAAGGCGACGAUCAGUAGCUGGUUUGAGAGAACGACCAGCCACACUGGAACUGAGACACGGUCCAGACUCCUACGGAGGCAGCAGUGGGGAAUUUUGGACAAUGGGGGCGAACCCUGAUCCAGCAAUGCCGCGUGAGUGAAGAAGGCCU